This 495-nucleotide ribosomal RNA is filed under the name uncultured bacterium. RNAcentral's name for it is "partial 16S ribosomal RNA". It matches the Rfam family "Bacterial small subunit ribosomal RNA", at positions 28 to 507 of the family's 1533-position model. The record is from RNAcentral.
GACGAACGCUGGCGGCGUGCCUAAUACAUGCAAGUAGAACGCUGAAGGAGGAGCUUGCUUCUCUGGAUGAGUUGCGAACGGGUGAGUAACGCGUAGGUAACCUGCCUGGUAGCGAGGGAUAACUAUUGGAAACGAUAGCUAAUACCGCAUAAGAGUAGAUGUUGCAUGACAUUUGCUUAAAAGGUGCAAUUGCAUCACUACCAGAUGGACCUGCGUUGUAUUAGCUAGUUGGUGGGGUAACGGCUUACCAAGGCGACGAUACAUAGCCGACCUGAGAGGGUGAUCGGCCACACUGGGACUGAGACACGGCCCAGACUCCUACGGGAGGCAGCAGUAGGGAAUCUUCGGCAAUGGACGGAAGUCUGACCGAGCAACGCCGCGUGAGUGAAGAAGGUUUUCGGAUCGUAAAGCUCUGUUGUAAGAGAAGAACGAGUGUGAGAGUGGAAAGUUCACACUGUGACGGUAUCUUACCAGAAAGGGACGGCUAACUACGUG